CCCUUAGAUGUUCUGGGCCGCACGCGUGCUACACUGAGUGGAUCAGCGGGUCAGGUUGCGCGAAAGUGUUUCCUAAUCUUGAAAUCCGCUCGUGAUGGGGAUUGACGGUUGCAAUUUUCCGUCAUGAACGAGGAAUACCUUGUAAGCGCGGGUCAUCAUCCCGCGCUGAAUACGUCCCUGCCCUUUGUACACACCGCCCGUCGCUCCUACCGAUUGAAUGUGUUGGUGAGGAGCUCGGAUUGGCAGCAGUUGGUGGUUCGCCACCGGCUAUUGCUGAGAAGUCCUCCAAACCGCCCCAUUUAGAGGAAGGAGAAGUCGUAACA
Molecule: ribosomal RNA, 323 nt
Filed under: uncultured eukaryote
Lineage: Eukaryota
Description: partial 18S ribosomal RNA
Rfam family: Eukaryotic small subunit ribosomal RNA
Source: RNAcentral